AACGAACGCUGGCGGGCAGGCCUCCAUACAUGCAAGUCGAGCGAUUAAGACUCCUUCGGGAGUGUAUAAAGCGGCGAACGGGUGAGGUAACAGGUGGAUGAUCUACCUUCCGGUGGGGGAUAACGGCUGGAAACGGCCGCUAAUACCGCAUUCGGUUAAUACGCUGCGGCGUAUUAAAGAAAGGCGCUUCAAAGCGCCGCCGGGAGAUGAGUCCGCCCCCCAUUAGCUAGUUGGUGAGAUAACAGCUCACCAAGGCAACGAUGGGUAGCCGAACUGAGAGGUUGAUCGGCCACACUGGAACUGAGAUACGGUCCAGACUCCUACGGGAGGCAGCAGUAGGGAAUAUUGGGCAAUGGGCGGAAGCCUGAACCAGCCAUCCCGCGUGAAGGAAGACAGCCUUACGGGUUGUAAACUUCUUUUCUGUCAGAAGAAUAAGCUUGUCGAGACGAGUGAUGCCGGUAUGACAGGAAUAAGCAUCGGCUAACUCCGUG
Molecule: ribosomal RNA, 491 nt
Filed under: uncultured bacterium
Lineage: Bacteria
Description: bacterial SSU rRNA
Rfam family: Bacterial small subunit ribosomal RNA
Source: RNAcentral